Molecule: ribosomal RNA, 469 nt
Filed under: uncultured bacterium
Lineage: Bacteria
Description: partial 16S ribosomal RNA
Rfam family: Bacterial small subunit ribosomal RNA
Source: RNAcentral
GACGAACGCUGGCGGCGUGCUUAACACAUGCAAGUCGAACGGAAAGGCCCUGCUUGCAGGGUGCUCGAGUGGCGAACGGGUGAGUAACACGUGGGUGAUCUGCCCCUUACUUUGGGAUAAGCCUGGGAAACUGGGUCUAAUACUGGAUAGGACCAUGCUGUAGGUGGUGUGGUGGAAAGAUUAGUUUCGGUAAGGGAUGAGCUCGCGGCCUAUCAGCUUGUUGGUGGGGUAAUGGCCUACCAAGGCGUCGACGGGUAGCCGGCCUGAGAGGGUGGACGGCCACAUUGGGAGUGAGAACCGGCCGGCAGCCCACCGGGGGGAGGCGGGGGGGAAGGUUGCACAAGGGGGGCAGGCGUGAUCCAGCUCCGCGGGGUGGGGGAGGCCGGCUUUCGGGUGUUAACCUCCUUCCAGCCCGGACAAACCCCUGUGGGGGACGUGAGUGUAAAAAGAGCCCCCGCCAAACUCCGUC